CCUACGGGAGGCAGCAGUGGGGAAUAUUGGGCAAUGGGCGCAAGCCUGACCCAGCAACGCCGCGUGAAGGAAGAAGGCUUUCGGGUUGUAAACUUCUUUUCUCAGGGACGCAGCAAGUGACGGUACCUGCGGAAUAAGCCUAGGCUAACUACGAGCCAGCAGCCGCGGUAAUACGGAGGUGGCAAGCGUUAUCCGGAUUUACUGGGUGUAAAGGGCGUGUAGGCGGGAAAGCAAGUCAGAUGUGAAAACCAUGGGCUCAACCUGUGGCCUGCAUUUGAAACUGUUUUUCUUGAGUACUGGAGAGGCAGACGGAAUGCCUAGUGUAGCGGUGAAAUGCGUAGAUAUUAGGAAGAACACCGGUGGCGAAGGCGGUGUGCUGGACAGCAACUGACGCUGAGGCGCGAAAGCGUGGGGAGCAAACAGGAUUAUAUACCCUAGUAGUC
This 443-nucleotide ribosomal RNA is filed under the name uncultured bacterium. RNAcentral describes it as "partial 16S ribosomal RNA". It matches the Rfam family "Bacterial small subunit ribosomal RNA", at positions 338 to 795 of the family's 1533-position model. The record is from RNAcentral.